GGUCGGGUAGUGAGGGCCUUGGUCAGACGCAGCGGGCGUGCUUGUGGACUGCUUGGUGGGGCUUGCUCUGCUAGGCGGACUACUUGCGUGCCUUGUUGUAGACGGCCUUGGUAGGUCUCUUGUAGACCGUCGCUUGCUACAAUUAACGAUC
Molecule: unclassified non-coding RNA, 151 nt
Filed under: Saccharomyces cerevisiae (brewer's yeast)
Lineage: Eukaryota; Fungi; Ascomycota; Saccharomycetes; Saccharomycetales; Saccharomycetaceae
Description: rRNA expansion segment ES27L in an "out" conformation from Saccharomyces cerevisiae (PDB 3IZD, chain A)
Source: RNAcentral